Small nuclear RNA from Ictidomys tridecemlineatus (thirteen-lined ground squirrel), 107 nucleotides. NCBI's taxonomy places the organism in Eukaryota, Metazoa, Chordata, Mammalia, Rodentia, Sciuridae. The record is from Ensembl.
GUGCUCACUUUGGCAGCACAUAUACUAAAGUUGGAAUGAUACAGAGAAGAUUAGCAUGGCCCCUGUGCAAGGAUGACAUGCAAAUUCAUGAAGCAUUCCAUACUUUU